RNAcentral lists this long non-coding RNA (6358 nucleotides) under Sus scrofa (pig). RNAcentral describes it as "lncRNA (ENSSSCG00025071253.1)". The record is from RNAcentral. Lineage: Eukaryota; Metazoa; Chordata; Mammalia; Artiodactyla; Suidae.
GAUACAGAGAACAAAUAGUAGUUACCAUUGGGGAGGAGGUAGAGAGAGGGGCAAGACUGGGGAAGGUGAUUAAGACAUAUAAACUACUAAGUAUAAAAUAAAUGGGAUACAAGGAUGUAAUGUACAGUACAGGCAAUAUAGCCAAUAUUUUAUAACAAAUUUAAAUGGAGUCUAAUAUAUAAAAAUAUUGAAUCACUAUGUUGUACACCUGAAAUUAAUAUAUUUUUAAUCAACUAUACUUCAAUUACAAAAAGGAUGAAUAUCCAGAUAUGUUUGCUUACUAUACUGAAUCUUUCUUGAGUCAGUUACUGAGAAAUUCUGAGAAUUCAAAAGAAUAUAUAGUAUAAAAAGUGGAAAGGGGCCUAGAGAGUGACUACUUAAAGGGUAUAGGAUUCCCUUUAGGGGGUGAUAUAAAUUUUCUAAAAUUGACUAUAGUGGUGGUUGCACUACUCUAUAAAUAGACCAAAAAUCACUGAAUUGUACAUAUUAAAUGUGUGGAUUGUAUUGUGAGUUUUAUCUCAAUAAAGCUGUUUAAAAAGUCUAUCCACAGCCUCAGCUCUAGUCCCAGCUGAAGCUGCAAGCCCAGACUCAGACUCAGACUUAGUCAUAGAGUUUCAUUCUUGAUUGGUGUAUGUGAAUUAUGGUAAUUCCAUUACCUGUGGUCAGCAAUUGGCUAAGGAGAACCCAUGUAACCCAAUUUUAGCCAGGAUCUGAGGUAAAAGUUUCUUGUCAAUAAAAGAAUGAGAAAGAUUUCUUAGCAUUUAGAGAGUUACAAGAAACAAAUAAUUAUUUUUUCUGCCUCUCUCAUCAUUGUUGUAUGAGGAUGUGAUGCCUGGAGCUGUUGAAGUCAUAUUGAUAUUAUGAGGCACAAACUACCCUACAUAUUGUGAAUGGAAAUGCAAGAAAUAAAAUGAUGUAUGUAGGCUACAGAAGUGAUGAACACCUUUGCAGUUAUUAUGAGACGAAAAAUCUCUUCAUUGUUAAAGGCACACUGAGUUGCAUUUUUUUUUCACUUUGUAGUUAAGAACAUCCUAAAUAAUAAAAUUAUUUACACUCCAUCUUAUACCAAAAUGCCAUGAGAUGGCCAAAUAUUCAUUUAAAAUUAAGAGUUAGGAAAGUCCUUAUCCAUGACAAUCAACCCUACCUGAUAAUGAAACUCUGUAUCCCAUUAUUAAGGAAAUAAUUAUUUAAAUCAUUAGUAGACUUUUAGAGAAUGAACACAUUCUUCUGUCUCCCUCCAUCAGUUUUCAGUGUUUAACAGAUUUCUUAGAAAGCUCUUCCUUGUAUAUAACCUGAUAUAUGAAAACUUUUAACAUGAUAUAGAAACAUGCAAAACCACUGGUGGUACAAAUUUCAGGCACUACAAAUGUUUCAAAAUUGUAAGUUAACAAGAAAUUCUAAUCAUAAUAACCAGGUUAGGUAGAUUGGAUGCAAAUACUCAAGUUUGAAUGAUAAACUAAAUAGAUGAAAGAAUGUCAGCAAUGUUUUGUCUGAGAAAUCAUAACAAAUGUUUAAUGAAACCAAACUAAAUCAUUCUCAGUUCCAGACAGAAAAUCCUCCAUUUCACAAUAGCCUUUAAGGCUAUGUGUGUGCAUGUGUAUUUAGGUGAGGGAAUUUCUGAGGUUUCUGUUAAAAUGAUUUGCUAAUAUACAAGUUCCUGGUUAUUAAAACUGCUUUGAAAAACAGACAAACGAGACAUUUCACCACAAGCCCAGUACCAAACACUGGCACUGAAGAAUAAAAAUGUCAACUUCUCCUUUCCCAAAAGACUUGGGAGCAUGUGUGGGCCCCUGCCAGUAGAAAAGCUUUUUACUCGGUUGUUUUUCCCUAAGACAAUCAGUGUAUUAAGAUUGAGAUUUUCAAGGGAUUUGAUUCAAUUAAAGUAACAGUUUGUUGAAUGCCUACUAUGUGCCAGGUAUUGUGAGAUCCAGGGGAACCCAGGAAAGGAUUUAGUAAGGGAAUGGCUUCUUUGACUUCAUCUCUGUUGCUUCCUGUUUUUGCUGUGAAACCUAUAAGGCUAUUGACCCAAUUUCAUAGUGCUACACUGGAUUCAUGAGGAAUAAGCAUAUGGACUUGAGGAUAACCUAAUGAAACACUUAUGCACUGUCAGAAUUAAAAUCCAUAACCUUAAAGCAACUUUCAUAUUUUUUUUAUUUUAUCACCAUAGUUCCUAUCACUGAUGAUACAUACCCUAGCAUAUACUUCCUACUUCAACUUCUUCAGUAACUCAUUGCAAUCUGAUAUCUGCUUUUUCAACUUCACUAAAAAUUUUCCUUAAAUAAAGGUCAUCAGUGCCAAAGUGCCAAGNUACAGCAAGGGGGUCAGGUUAUCCUUACAUGUAUACAUUACAAUUACAUUUUUUCCCCCACCCUUUGUUCUGUUGCAACAUGAGUAUCUAGACAUAGUUCUCAAUGCUAUUCAGCAGGAUAAGUGCCUUUUUCAAUCUUCAGUCUCUUCAACUUUUCUGCAGCAUUUCAUAGUGCUGACCACCAUCACACCUCUUGAUUCCCUUUUCCCUUAGACUCCACAACACUAUAUUAUGAUGCUUUUCAUUCUAUCUCUCUGACUGCCCCUUCUCUAACUCUUUGGCUACUCUUCUUCCACCAGCACCUCAGGUAUUUUUCUCAGUCCAUUUCAUUUUGUUUCGUUUUGUAUGCUCUCUAUAUUCUCUCAUGGGCAAUUGUAUCCAUUGCCACAGAUUCAAUUAACACCCAAACUCUGAAUAUUCUGAUGACUCUUAUAUUUAUCUCUCUAGCCAGAAUCUCUUACCUAAGUCCUGACAGUCAGUUGACUUUCAUCCCCUGGGACACCUCAAUGCUAUAUCCAAAAUAGAACAUCUUUCCUACUCCGCCUCCUGAAUAUCAAAUUUCCUUUAACAGUACCCACACUCCCAGCUGCCCAAGGCUGAAACUUUAUAGAGUCAUUUUACCUUCCUUCUCAUUCUUAACACUGUAUCUUCCCAAAGUUAUCAAAGUUUGAAAAUUCAAUUGUCAUAAUGUCUCAACCAUAUGUCCAAUCUCUAACUACUCCCCUGCCACUACUUCCUGCCUCUAGUCUGUCUAGAUGCUAUGUUACUGAUACAGCUAUAAAUUGGAAGCUGGAAAUAAGUUAGUAGUGGCAGUAUGUGGUUGUUGAGCAAGAACUGUCACAGAGAAAUGCUUCUUUUCUCAAAGGGACUUUCUUGCUUCAUAUUGCCUCACUUACCCUAGGGUGUGUGAUAUUAGCUAGUGAGUAACCCUUGCCAUAGGUUGUCACAACCACAUAACUUACUCAGCAUUGACAAUAUAAUCAAUUGCAACAUUGAUCUAGGAACACUGGUAGCUGAUGUUCAAGAGGGAUUAAUAUAAAUAUUCUACUUAAAAGUUGGCCAUGAGAAGUAAAAAUAAAGAUGUCUUAGGAUAUCAAAGAUAGAACAGUUAGUUGGUAUUCCUUCAGGAAGAGUAAGUUUGAAACAACAUUCAGAUCCGAGAAAAUAAAUGUUUUAAAAAUAUUCAUGGAGUUCCCGUCAUGGCGCAGUGGUUAAUGAAUCUGACUAGGAACCAUGAGGUUGUGGGUUCGAUCCCUGCCCUUGCUCAGUGGGUUAACAAUCUGACGUUGCCGUGAGCUGUGGUGUAGGUCGCAGAUGCGGCUCUGGCGUAGGCUGGCAGCUACAGCUCCGAUUCAACCCCUAGCCUGGAACCUCCAUAUGCCGCGGGAGUGGCCCAAGAAAUGGUAAAAAGCCAAAAAAAAAAAAAAAUUCAUAACCUCUGCCUAAUGUUUAGUAUGGUAUUAACCCUUUGGAAUAUGGGGUUUUUGUGCGUGUGUGUGUGUGUCUUUUUAGGGCCACACACGUGGCAUGUGGAAGUUCCCAGGCUAAGGGUCAAAUCAGAGCCAUAGCCACCAGCCUACACCACAGCCAUAGCAACACCAGAUUCCAGCUACCUCCGAAACCUAUGCCAUAGAUUGUGGUAAUGACGGAUCCUUUAAUCCACUGAGCAAGGCCAGGGAACCUGCAUCCUCAUGGAUACUAGUCGGGUUCUUAACCUACUGAGUCACAAUGAGAAGUCCUAGAAUAUGGUUUUGACAAAGAAACUCUUGUGUUCAGAAAAGCCUAUUUCCUAACAAUAGCAUAUUCUUCAAUCUGGAUUAUUUUCAACGUGGUAUAUAAAAUAAUUAAGUGCCUUUUAAUCACCUUUUUCUUCUCAUCCAGUCUCCAUUCUGUAAAUUUUAAUUUAUAAGUAAGCAAAUUCUAAACCACUGAAAAUAAUUUAGUAAGUAUACCAUAAGGGUUUUUGUUAUUUCUUUGCUCAAGGAUUAUUUUGCUGUGGAUGAUAACUUAAGUCUGCUUCCUAAUGCCUAGUAAUUCUAACAUAUCUUAGUACCGCCUGCCAAUAUCUUAUGAAACUCUUAAAAGGCUGUAUCGACACAACACUGAAACUCCCAGCUGAAAAGCCAAAUUUUUAGGUAAUCUACAAGCUGGUUUGCCUGUAAGCCAUGAAACAACAAGUUUAAGUGAUUUUUUUCUGAGUGUAAUUAACACAUAGUGCUUCUAUAAUAAUGAGCUGAUUUGGAGAGAAAUAACUGAAGUCAAUCAAAGUGGUUGUUUUCACAACAGUUCCAAGUCAGUUAAUUUCAAAACAACUAGGUCUUUGACUUAUUUCAGUCAUGUGUGUAUACAAAGCCUGCACUGGCCAUUUGUUUAUGUAAUGUAUAGACAUAGCUUACUGUGAUAUCCUUUUAAACAAUAAAACCCCAUCCUCUCAAGCCACUUCAAUCCCUCUUGUGCUAUGAUUUAUCAUGUCACAUACCUGCUUAAAAUCCUCGAAUAAUUUUUUUCUUGCCUACAAAAUAAAGUCUGAGCCUUUGAUUAUAUAAUUCUGCCCUAAUGGAAUCUUUUCACUCUUCUCCAUCUCUCUAGACUGUAGAUUUUCUUCAAGCCCCAGUGUCUCAACUCCUCUACAAAAGCAUCCAUAAAUACUAGAGUCUGCACUGUUUCUCUUCUCUGAAUUUGUAUUGCACUCAAAAUCUAAAGAACAUAAUGUUAACACUUGAAAUGUCAAAAUCAUUGCUUUGUACAUGGCAGAGUACCUAACAGAGUACCUAGCACAUUGUAGACACUCCAUGGAGAUUUGUAAACUUGCCUCAUUGACUUCUUCCAUUGGAAUAAGAAAAAACCUAAGGUGUGAUAACAACAUUCCAAAUUAUACUUUGCUUAGGAAAUAACGUGGAAAAGCUCCUUUCUUGUGUGCCUUUAAUUCUCCACUGAAUCAAUGUUAACUUGUAUAAGUUUACCAUAGUUGUAGGCACCAAUCUAUCACUGAAGAUACAACAGAGUGGGUCAACCUGCAAUGGGCAGUAAGUUUCUGGAAAGGGAGUUAGGGUUUACUUCCAACAUCAACCAUCUCCUCCAUUCAACUUCUACCAAAAAGGUAUUUAUGAUUGAAUCGCAUCUUUAUGACUAGAAACCAAACUCAAUUCAGUAGGAUGAGGGUUGCUAGAGAUGGCAUAAAAAGCUAAAAGUGACACAAAUGACUUUGAGUGUCUGUCAUUACAGAUUAGUUUAUAGUGAAAAAGUGAUUCUCAUUUACAUUAUCUAGGCCAUCAAAAGAAACCUUCUAUAUUAAUCUGCAUAACCUCUAGUUAAUGAAAUUAUACCAAUUCUUAAUACUAUUAUGAAGAUGGAAGAGGCACAGGAGAAGGCGGGAGAAAACAGGAUGGAGAAAGGAUUGGUUUUAUAUAUUAAAAAUAAAUGUGACAGAAGUUGGAUUUUUGCCAUAUUCUCUGGCUCUAUUAAUAACUAAUAUGCCCGUGGUUCAAAACAAAAUCAUUAGACACUAACACAGAGGAAUGUAUAUGCAUAUAUGAGGACACAUUAUUUUAUUUAUAAGAUGUCUUCUCAGUAGGAAACCUAACUUUACCGCACUGCAUGAAAUAAAAAGUGGAAAAAGAAGAAUUUAGAUGCCUGCAUCAUAAAGGCAUCACAAUGACAGGUAAUGUUUCUCUAUGUUGUGAGACUCUCAUGGAUACAACUAUGGGCAAGAGAAGCUGAGAUACUUUUAAUGACAGUAGGAAGACAAGAGCUGAGCUGCUUUUGUGUUCAACUUUUGAAAGACCUAUGGCACAAGGUCCAGUAUGCUAACUCCCUAACCUUGCUUCAACAGAGAACACAGGUUGUGAAAAUUACAUGGAUUUUCUUUUGGAAAACAUCUUGUCUUGUUCCUGAUCCCCAUAUAUUUUAUCACUACUAUAAUUAAUAGAGUAGUAACAUUCUUAAGCCAUCACGGUUGGCCUGAGUUACUUUCUGGGUGCUUCAAGAGCCACAAUUCUUGCUAUCAGAGAGAAAAACUAUGUUAGUAAAUAUGAGUCAAAUGACUUGGUA